UGAAUGUCAUGGCUUGGAUUCAGAGGUUAGAUAUGGAUAUACUGAGUCAACGGAAUUGGAUUCAGAGGUUUUGUAUCUAAAGAAAAAUGUUUUGCUAUGUUUUGUAUAUAAAUUUUAGUUUAAAUUGAAUAUAAAUGCUAGGUUUUGUUUGUGGUUAGAAAUUUAUUGGUUAAAGAACUUUAUACCCGGUUAGAUAGAGCAGCUCCAAUACUAAUGCAUGAUUUAAAAUGUUGACAAUAUGAUAACUCUUAUAUUUUUUGUCACUUUAGUGUUCAUUAAAGAACAUAAAACAAGGGGGAAAAUGUUGACAAUAUGAGGACUCUAAUAUAGAAUUUUUUUUGUUUUUUUUUUUUUUGGUAACAGGCUCAAAAUUGAAAUCUUGUUAGAAGUUUAGACAAAAAAAUAUGGAUGAACUCAUGCAUGAAGCUAAAUUGUACAGGACUAGUUGGCACUUGUUACAUUUUUUUGAAGAAUUAUAUAUUUUUGGAUAGAUAUGUAUGGAAAAUAUAUGGGUAGACUAGUAGUUAUAUUUUUGGAUGGUGUGUAUGGAAAAUAUUUGGGUAGAUUAUUAGUUAUAUUUUUUGAUAGAUGCGCAUGGAUAAAAAUUUAAAACAUAAAAACAAGUACUUGUCAUUUUUAAAUUUUUAUGCUAGAUGGGUGUGACUUGGAUGAUCAUAUAGAUUACAAGUGAAUUUUUAAUUGGAGGAAUAUGUAGUUUGGAAUUACUUGUGGAUGAAAACUUAUAAAAGUUGAUGGUUUUAAUUAAAUAAGUUCAGGAUUGGAUGAUUUAUGUAUUU
Molecule: non-coding RNA, 797 nt
Organism: Camellia sinensis
Lineage: Eukaryota; Viridiplantae; Streptophyta; Magnoliopsida; Ericales; Theaceae
Source: RefSeq, a predicted model, not a curated record